CGUAUGAGGUUUUGUGGUAUAUGAUAGCGUACAUGUAUUCCAGCAGAUGGUUUGACAUAGAAUUUGGUAUUGACGUUAUAGAUAUACACAAUAAAUGGUUUUGUAGAGUUUGUGGUAUUUCAUUUGAAUUUCUUGUCUUGUGAAACUGUAAUGCCCUGAUAUUGAAAAGAUAACAACAACGUAUAGUGCGCUGAGUAUCUUAUUUUGUUGAUUAUACAUUGUUGUUUACAUGCCGCACAAACAAUUGGCACAAUUAGUUUUUGACAGUUUUGGGCGGAUUUAUGGUGUUGUGGCAAAGAGUUUUUUGGCAAAUCAAUAGAAAUUUACAAGACUUAUAUAAUUAUGAAGGAAUAUCCAAAAAAAAUACAAAUAGAGAGCGUUUGCCUGUUAACCUACCUUCAGUGAAUCUAGUAUACUAUAUACUCCACGAAUAACGGGUAUAAAAAUUAGGGACACAGUCUCAUGUAAUUUAAAUGUUGGCUUGGUAUUUUGGGAUGCUUGGUAUGUUUGCUGAUAUAAUUAAUUGAUUUCUAUUGCUUGAGGUAUCCCCUAGUGCAAAACAACCCAAUUAUAUAAUACGAUUAUAAUAUGUUCCGAGAUGGUAAUUAUCAUUGAUUAAAUCAGUGACAUAACGAGGCACAAGUGAAUCGUAAGUUCAGUGUAGACACCCUAUAAAUAUAAUAAUACGGCAGUGUGUGCACACUAUAAUUGCACCCUAUUAGCGUAGUUUAAAUUCAUUUUUGAAACGAGGGUAUGCAUUUUAGUAUAAGAAUAUCUCGCCAAGAUAUGAAGCCGUAUUUAGAUUCAGAUUAUUCCAUUAGUCGCAACUUGCGUCAGAGACAUAGAAAAAAGGGAGUUUCUAACGAAUACUCACAUCAUUUAGAUUCCGAAAAUAAAAAAAAAGGCAGAAAGAAAUGUCAAAAUGGCGCAUAUGAUGAAUACGGAAAUAUUCGCUCAAACGGCGACUGUAUGAAUCAAGAUGUGAUGGUUGCUGGUAUAAUUGCCGAAGUUGUGGCUCUACCAGGUGUGGUCCCCAAUGUCGCUCGAAUCGAAAGUUUUUUUAUGAGGACAUUACAUAUGACGGUAAAGAUUUAAAUAUUCAAAAUAAAUAUAUAUCAAGAUAAAGUUAAGCAAAUCACAUGUAUUAUUAAAAUAUUUGUAACUUAAUAUAAGUAUCCAUGAACAGCCAAACGAGCAUUAAACUAUCAUUCAGACGAAACACAUCACAUAUAAAAAUUCUCAAUUGAUUCAGAAAAAUACAUCAUUGUGCUAAUUAAAAGGAAAUGAUUAAAAGAAUAAAGUUAACUCUUCUGCAGCUA
Long non-coding RNA from Drosophila simulans, 1319 nucleotides. RefSeq lists it as uncharacterized. Lineage: Eukaryota; Metazoa; Arthropoda; Insecta; Diptera; Drosophilidae. The transcript has 2 exons. The record is from RefSeq and is a predicted model, not a curated record.